This 334-nucleotide unclassified non-coding RNA is filed under the name soil metagenome. RNAcentral's name for it is "partial contains 5.8S ribosomal RNA, internal transcribed spacer 2, and large subunit ribosomal RNA". The stretch from base 1 to 120 matches the Rfam family "5.8S ribosomal RNA", at positions 35 to 154 of the family's 154-position model. The record is from RNAcentral.
GAUGAAGAACGUAGCGAAAUGCGAUAAGUAAUGUGAAUUGCAGAAUUCAGUGAAUCAUCGAAUCUUUGAACGCACAUUGCGCCCGCCAGUAUUCUGGCGGGCAUGCCUGUUCGAGCGUCAUUUCAACCAUCAAGCCCUGCUUGCGUUGGGGUCCUGCGGCUGCCCGCAGGCCCUGAAAACCAGUGGCGGGCUCGCUAGUCACACCGAGCGCAGUAAUACAUCUCGCUUUGGGCGUGCGGCGGGUUCUUGCCGUUAAACACCCCCUUUUUACGAAGGUUGACCUCGGAUCAGGUAGGAAUACCCGCUGAACUUAAGCAUAUCAAUAAGCGGAGGA